RNAcentral lists this non-coding RNA (23 nucleotides) under Rattus norvegicus (Norway rat). The record is from RNAcentral. Lineage: Eukaryota; Metazoa; Chordata; Mammalia; Rodentia; Muridae.
AGCCCUCGCCAUUGACCUGAACC